ACGAACGCUGGCGGCAUGCCUAACACAUGCAAGUCGCACGAGACCUUCGGGUCUAGUGGCGCACGGGUGCGUAACGCGUGGGAAUCUGCCCUUGGGUUCGGAAUAACAGUUGGAAACGACUGCUAAUACCGGAUGAUGACGUAAGUCCAAAGAUUUAUCGCCCAAGGAUGAGCCCGCGUAGGAUUAGCUAGUUGGUGAGGUAAAGGCUCACCAAGGCGACGAUCCUUAGCUGGUCUGAGAGGAUGAUCAGCCACACUGGGACUGAGACACGGCCCAGACUCCUACGGGAGGCAGCAGUGGGGAAUAUUGGACAAUGGGCGAAAGCCUGAUCCAGCAAUGCCGCGUGAGUGAUGAAGGCCUUAGGGUUGUAAAGCUCUUUUACCCGGGAUGAUAAUGACAGUACCGGGAGAAUAAGCUCCGGCUAACUCCGUG
This 432-nucleotide ribosomal RNA is filed under the name uncultured bacterium. RNAcentral's name for it is "partial 16S ribosomal RNA". It matches the Rfam family "Bacterial small subunit ribosomal RNA", at positions 29 to 507 of the family's 1533-position model. The record is from RNAcentral.